Molecule: small nucleolar RNA, 139 nt
Organism: Sorghum bicolor (sorghum)
Lineage: Eukaryota; Viridiplantae; Streptophyta; Magnoliopsida; Poales; Poaceae
Rfam family: Small nucleolar RNA Z247
About the family: Z247 is a member of the C/D class of snoRNA which contain the C (UGAUGA) and D (CUGA) box motifs.
Source: Rfam
AAGCUUGAAGAUGACGAGCUUGUCUCGUAUAUUCUCACUGGGCUGGACCUGGACUUCAAUCCAGUUGUCUCAGCAGUGAGCGCCAGAGUGGAACCAAUUACGGUGGCAGAGCUGUACACACAGCUCACAAGCUUUGAAC